GACGAACGCUGGCGGCGUGCUUAACACAUGCAAGUCGAACGGAAAGGCCUCUUUCGGGGGGUACUCGAGUGGCGAACGGGUGAGUAACACGUGAGUAACCUGCCCCUGACUUUGGGAUAACUUCAGGAAACUGGGGCUAAUACCGGAUAGGAGCUCCUGCUGCAUGGUGGGGGUUGGAAAGUUUCGGCGGUGGGGGAUGGACUCGCGGCUUAUCAGCUUGUUGGUGGGGUAGUGGCUUACCAAGGCUUUGACGGGUAGCCGGCCUGAGAGGGUGACCGGCCACAUUGGGACUGAGAGACGGCCCAGACUCCUACGGGGGGCAGCAGUGGGGAAUAUUGCACAAUGGGUGGAAGCCUGAUGCAGCAAAGCCGUGUGCGGGAUGACGGCCUUCGGGUUGUAAACCGCUUUCGCUCAUGACGAAGCGUUGUGUGACGGUAGUGGGUAAAGAAGCACCGGCUAAAUACGUG
Molecule: ribosomal RNA, 467 nt
Filed under: uncultured bacterium
Lineage: Bacteria
Description: partial 16S ribosomal RNA
Rfam family: Bacterial small subunit ribosomal RNA
Source: RNAcentral